Molecule: transfer RNA, 75 nt
Filed under: Scytonema hofmannii PCC 7110
Lineage: Bacteria; Bacillati; Cyanobacteriota; Cyanophyceae; Nostocales; Scytonemataceae
Description: Scytonema hofmanni PCC 7110 tRNA
Rfam family: tRNA
About the family: Transfer RNA (tRNA) molecules are approximately 80 nucleotides in length. Their secondary structure includes four short double-helical elements and three loops (D, anti-codon, and T loops). Further hydrogen bonds mediate the characteristic L-shaped molecular structure. tRNAs have two regions of fundamental functional importance: the anti-codon, which is responsible for specific mRNA codon recognition, and the 3' end, to which the tRNAs corresponding amino acid is attached (by aminoacyl-tRNA synthetases). tRNAs cope with the degeneracy of the genetic code in two manners: having more than one tRNA (with a specific anti-codon) for a particular amino acid; and 'wobble' base-pairing, i.e. permitting non-standard base-pairing at the 3rd anti-codon position.
Source: Rfam by way of RNAcentral
GGUGCCGUAGGCAAAUUGGUAAAGCCGUCGAUCUUUCAAGUCGAUGGAAAGCGGGUUCAACUCCCGUCGGCACUG